This 878-nucleotide long non-coding RNA is filed under the name Vitis vinifera (wine grape). RNAcentral describes it as "long non-coding RNA (VVIN_LNC001035)". The record is from RNAcentral. Lineage: Eukaryota; Viridiplantae; Streptophyta; Magnoliopsida; Vitales; Vitaceae.
UCCACAGAUGUAGCUAACAGGUUCGGGUUGCAGAUCCAUUUUGGAAGCAGAGCUGCUGCUAUGCAAGGCGGCGUUAGGGUUCUGGAGCUGCUGCUAUGCAAGGCGGCAUUAGGGUUCUCCUUCAGUAAAAGCGGUCAACAUUGAAAUGAGAGGCGCAGAUCUUUCUGGAGAUAUGUAUUCUGGUCCCGGCUGGACCGGAGCAGGGAUUGAAAAAUCGGAAAAUGUCGCCGAUAUUUCGAAGAAAUAUCGGAUAUCGGAAGGCGCUGAAACGAUAAUCGUCACCGAUUAUCGAUCGACGGAAAAAUCGACAAAAAAUCGGCAAAAUCGCCGAUAUAUCGGCGAAAUAUCGGCGAAAUACCGAUUUAUCGGAAAAUUUCCCGAUAUUUUCCUACCAGUCCAGCCCGCGCACAGGAUACAAAAUCUGGCUCAAAAAUCGUGGAUUUAGGGUUCGUGAAAUUUAAAUCCAAUGGCACAACAACAAAGAGACCCUUAAAACAGAUCCAGAAAACACAGGGAGCAAAAGAAAAGCAAAUUUUUUGGUUUUCUUUGGGGGUUUUGAAUGGAUUUUCUCGGAAAUCAAACGAGAAUGAAUUUUCCCGGAAAUCAAAUGGGGGAUGGAUUUUCUUGGGAAUCAAACGGGGGUUGCAAAAAAAAUAAUAUCAACGUGAUUAGAUUAGUACCUGCGAGGAUUGAGAGUGGCAGAGGAAGAUAGGUCUUUUUAGGAAGAGGAACUCUCUUGGCUGGAGGGCAGCUUCAGCGGCUGGAGGGCAGCUUCAGAAAAGGGGAAAGGGAAAUUCUCUCGGCUGGAGGGCAACUUCAGAAGUGGGUGGCCCUUUUAAUUUUUAGAUUUAGUAGAGGUAAAAAAAAAAAAAAAAAAC